GAUGAACGCUGGCGGCGUGCUUAACACAUGCAAGUCGAACGGAAACGCUGCUGCUUGCUGGGGUACUCGAGUGGCGAACGGGUGAGUAACACGUGGGUGAUCUGCCCUGCACUUCGGGAUAAGCUUGGGUAACUGGGCCUACUACAGGACAGGACGCUGGCUUGGAUGCCAUUCUGGAAAGCUUUUCGGCGUGAGAUGGGCUCCCGGCCUAUCAGCUUGUUGGUGGGGUAAUGGUCUACCAAGGCGUCGACGGGUAGCCGGCAUGUGAGGGGGUACGGUCACAUGAGGACUGCGAGACGGACCAGACUCCUACGGGAGACAGCAGUGGGGAAUAUGGCACAGUGAGCGCAAGCCUGAUGCAGCGACGCCGCGUGUGGGAUGACGGCCUUCGGGUUGUAAACACCUUUCGCUAGAGACGAAGCGCAAGUGACGGUACCUGAAGAAGAAGCACCGGCUAACUACGUG
RNAcentral lists this ribosomal RNA (465 nucleotides) under uncultured bacterium. RNAcentral describes it as "partial 16S ribosomal RNA". It matches the Rfam family "Bacterial small subunit ribosomal RNA", at positions 28 to 507 of the family's 1533-position model. The record is from RNAcentral.